This 94-nucleotide signal recognition particle RNA is filed under the name Sphingomicrobium sediminis. Its description in RNAcentral is "Bacterial small signal recognition particle RNA". It matches the Rfam family "Bacterial small signal recognition particle RNA". Rfam says of the family: The signal recognition particle (SRP) is a universally conserved ribonucleoprotein involved in the co-translational targeting of proteins to membranes. Archaeal SRP consists of a 7S RNA and homologues of the eukaryotic SRP19 and SRP54 proteins. Lineage: Bacteria; Pseudomonadati; Pseudomonadota; Alphaproteobacteria; Sphingomonadales; Sphingomicrobiaceae. The record is from Rfam by way of RNAcentral.
CUCGGAAGUCGGCGGACGACUUGCCCGUGAACCUGGUCAGGCCCGGAAGGGAGCAGCCACAGCGGUUUCGGUCGGGUCGUCGGCUUCCACCUUC